This 94-nucleotide microRNA precursor is filed under the name Branchiostoma floridae (Florida lancelet). RNAcentral describes it as "mir-2060 microRNA precursor family". It matches the Rfam family "mir-2060 microRNA precursor family". Lineage: Eukaryota; Metazoa; Chordata; Leptocardii; Amphioxiformes; Branchiostomatidae. The record is from Rfam by way of RNAcentral.
GCUUGACUGUAUGUAUGGUGUUCAACACCAAGGACAGGUAUAUUUAUUUGUGUGUGUAUAUGGUGUUCAGCACCAAGGCCAGGCAUGUUUGUGU